UACGUAGGGUGCGAGCGUUGUCCGGAAUUAUUGGGCGUAAAGGGCUCGUAGGCGGUUUGUCGCGUCGGGAGUGAAAACCAGGUGCUUAACACCUGGCUUGCUUUCGAUACGGGCAGACUAGAGGUAUGCAGGGGGAGAACGGAAUUCCUGGUGUAGCGGUGAAAUGCGCAGAUAUCAGGAGGAACACCGGUGGCGAAGGCGGUUCUCUGGGCAUGACCUGACGCUGAGGAGCGAAAGUGUGGGGAGCGAACAGG
RNAcentral lists this ribosomal RNA (254 nucleotides) under uncultured bacterium. RNAcentral describes it as "partial 16S ribosomal RNA". It matches the Rfam family "Bacterial small subunit ribosomal RNA", at positions 524 to 776 of the family's 1533-position model. The record is from RNAcentral.